Gadus morhua (Atlantic cod) is the source of this 1966-nucleotide long non-coding RNA. RefSeq lists it as uncharacterized. The transcript has 2 exons. The record is from RefSeq and is a predicted model, not a curated record. NCBI's taxonomy places the organism in Eukaryota, Metazoa, Chordata, Actinopteri, Gadiformes, Gadidae.
AUCGGGUAGACUAUAGGUCAGACUACGAAAACAGUCCGCUCUGAUGACGCACUUCAGCCUCUUUUUUUUGCUUUCCUGUUGGCGGAUCGAUAGCAGCGUGGUGACCCUGCUUCAACCACAUCUCUGCAAAUCUGCGGGCCGGGAAGGAAGCAACAUCUGGUGCAUUUACAGAGAUGAAAAGCAGAUUGUGCAGUGUGGACACAUUCAUUCUGUUUCUGCCAUCUGUAAGAAUGUGGUUCAUGGCGCUGAAACCUCUUUCACACUCGGCUGUGGACACUAGGAGUGUGGAGACAGCGGUGAGAACUUUGCGCAUGCUCUCUCCUGUGACACCGUGACAUUUAAACUCAUCGAACUCCUUCAGGAGUAUGGGACUGGUUGCGGCCUCAACAGCAAGAGUUUUGUGUAUGGCGAGAAGUUUUUCAUCGCCGUAGAGGAUGCGCUCGUCUUCAUCAGAUGGCCAGUUUGAUGGAUUUAGAGCGGCGGCGGCAGAGAUUAUCCCGUUGUCAUCCAGCCUGCGCUCACGCGCGACGCCUCUGACUCGCUCCCGGUAGAUCAAAAUCACAGCACAAUCAAAAUGAAGACGGACCCUGUGUAUUUUGGUUGUUAAUUAUUACGAUGUAAUGGUGAAAAUACUUUGGGUGGGGGGGAUAAUUUUUAUCCCCACCGAGGAUAAAAAUAAUUCAGCAGAGGGUAGGACGUGUAAACCAGAGGGGGGGAUAAUCCCCACCAUCCCCACCGGCAAAUCGCACCCUGGAUAUACCCAGUGGUGUAGUGGUCCCUUGAGAAGUGGGUAUACUCUAAAUGUUUGCCCUUUUUUAACGCAGCCCAGAAAAACGCCCAGUUUUAGAAACAGACAUGUGAGAAUACUCUAUUUAGUUUACCCAAAAAUCCUUCAGUAGUAUUUGCUCAUUGACACAUCAUUUCUGCUGCUUGAUGUCAGGGAGGAAGGAUUAUGAAAUUAUUAAACCAAUACUGGCCCACAGACUAGUGACAGACAACUAUGCAUUUUGACUGAACUAUUCCUUAUUCCUGGAAUGACACCUAUUCUCUCACUUGGCAAGUCAGUAAUUUCUUUUGUAAAUUGUCUUUGAACAGCUGAUUUGCAACACAUAGCAUGGGCCAGAGUGGGCCACUAUUAUAAAAUGAACAUGACUUGAUCAGGAGCAGAUUUUAGGUAUUGCAAAAUAUAGAUGAGGCAAAUAUGGUGUUUCAGUAAUUUUUUUAACAUUUAUUUAAAUAAAAUACUUCAGAUCUGAAUUUGACAAUGCAUCCUUAUUCAUAUUUCACCUUAGAUUAAAAAAAAGGCACAUCAUUCUCUUCCACAUCAAUCAUCUAUUUAGAUAUAUAUAAUAUCAAUAUAUAUAUAAAUAUCAUAUGAUGAUUGUUAGGACUAAAAGGGUCUUGCUACUUUUUUGUACAUUUUUCCAUCACAGUAUGCUUGGUACCUUGCCAUGGAGGCACCGUUUGACUUCACUGUUGUAAGUAGGCAUUACAAAAAAUGAAGAAAGAGCUGACGAUUGAAAAGAUACGUUUAAAAUAAGAAUUGGAUUUUUGACAUAUGUAAGGUUACAACAUCGAAAAAUUCAUACUUGUAUACAUAUUUUAUCAUUGUCAAUUCUUGGAAUAUCCCCUUACUUUAGAAAAACAUGCCUGUCCCCAGAAAAUGGUGGUGCACAGUACUGCUUGAGAACUUCCACCUGGAUGGGCACGGCAGAAGGUUCCCACACUUCAUGGAGGAGGCCAAACAAAUGGCGGCUGGACUACUUCCACCAGUCCUCAGACUGAAGCGAAAAAGAGAAGUGAAUGACGUUUCCAGUGACAGAAUACAAAUAAUAUAUUGUAUAGGCUUAACAUUGAUUUGACUGUUUGAUUCUUUUGACAGUGAGUUGGAGCUGAUGUCAGUCAACAUGAAUAAGCUAUAUCUUUAAGCUUCUGUAGAUUAUUUGUUAAAUAAAUUGUGAGGAAA